GACGAACGCUGGCGGCGUGCUUAACACAUGCAAGUCGAACGAAGAGCGAUGGAAGCUUGCUUCUAUCAAUCUUAGUGGCGAACGGGUGAGUAACGCGUAAUCAACCUGCCCUUCAGAGGGGGACAACAGUUGGAAACGACUGCUAAUACCGCAUACGAUCUAAUCUCGGCAUCGAGGAUAGAUGAAAGGUGGCCUCUACAUGUAAGCUAUCACUGAAGGAGGGGAUUGCGUCUGAUUAGCUAGUUGGAGGGGUAACGGCCCACCAAGGCGAUGAUCAGUAGCCGGUCUGAGAGGAUGAACGGCCACAUUGGGACUGAGACACGGCCCAGACUCCUACGGGAGGCAGCAGUGGGGAAUCUUCCGCAAUGGACGAAAGUCUGACGGAGCAACGCCGCGUGAGUGAUGACGGCCUUCGGGUUGUAAAGCUCUGUUAAUCGGGACGAAAGGCCUUCUUGCGAAUAGUGAGAA
This 468-nucleotide ribosomal RNA is filed under the name Veillonella parvula. RNAcentral's name for it is "bacterial SSU rRNA". It matches the Rfam family "Bacterial small subunit ribosomal RNA", at positions 28 to 472 of the family's 1533-position model. Lineage: Bacteria; Bacillati; Bacillota; Negativicutes; Veillonellales; Veillonellaceae. The record is from RNAcentral.